This 616-nucleotide ribosomal RNA is filed under the name uncultured bacterium. Its description in RNAcentral is "bacterial SSU rRNA". It matches the Rfam family "Bacterial small subunit ribosomal RNA", at positions 202 to 819 of the family's 1533-position model. The record is from RNAcentral.
UAAAGAAUUUCGGUAUGGGAUGGGGAUGCGUUCCAUUAGUUAGUUGGCGGGGUAACGGCCCACCAAGACAACGAUGGAUAGGGGUUCUGAGAGGAAGGUCCCCCACAUUGGAACUGAGACACGGUCCAAACUCCUACGGGAGGCAGCAGUGAGGAAUAUUGGUCAAUGGACGAGAGUCUGAACCAGCCAAGUAGCGUGAAGGAUGACUGCCCUAUGGGUUGUAAACUUCUUUUAUAUGGGAAUAAAAUGUUCCACGUGUGGGAUUUUGUAUGUACCAUAUGAAUAAGGAUCGGCUAACUCCGUGCCAGCAGCCGCGGUAAUACGGAGGAUCCGAGCGUUAUCCGGAUUUAUUGGGUUUAAAGGGAGCGUAGGUGGAUUGUUAAGUCAGUUGUGAAAGUUUGCGGCUCAACCGUAAAAUUGCAGUUGAAACUGGCAGUCUUGAGUACAGUAGAGGUGGGCGGAAUUCGUGGUGUAGCGGUGAAAUGCUUAGAUAUCACGAAGAACUCCGAUUGCGAAGGCAGCUCACUGGACUGCAACUGACACUGAGGCUCGAAAGUGUGGGUAUCAAACAGGAUUAGAUACCCUGGUAGUCCACACAGUAAACGAUGAAUACUCG